UGGGGAAUUUUGGACAAUGGGCGCAAGCCUGAUCCAGCCAUGCCGCGCGCGGGAAGAAGGCCUUCGGGUUGUAAACCGCUUUUGUCAGGGAAGAAAUCUUCUGAGUUAAUACCUCGGGAGGAUGACGGUACCUGAAGAAUAAGCACCGGCUAACUACGUGCCAGCAGCCGCGGUAAUACGUAGGGUGCAAGCGUUAAUCGGAAAUACUGGGCGUAAAGCGUGCGCAGGCGGUUUUGUAAGACAGAGGUGAAAUCCCCGGGCUCAACCUGGGAACUGCCUUUGUGACUGCAAGGCUUGAGUGCGGCAGAGGGGGAUGGAAUUCCGCGUGUAGCAGUGAAAUGCGUAGAUAUGCGGAGGAACACCGAUGGCGAAGGCAAUCCCCUGGGCCUGCACUGACGCUCAUGCACGAAAGCGUGGGGAGCAAACAGGAUUAGAUACCCUGGUAGUCCACGCCCUAAAACGAUGUCAACUGGUUGUUGGGAAGGUUCCUUCUCAGUAACGUAGCUAACGCGUGAAGUUGACCGCCUGGGGAGUACGGCCGCAAGGUUGAAACUUAAAUGAAUUGACGGGGUCAU
RNAcentral lists this ribosomal RNA (575 nucleotides) under uncultured bacterium. RNAcentral describes it as "partial 16S ribosomal RNA". It matches the Rfam family "Bacterial small subunit ribosomal RNA", at positions 355 to 922 of the family's 1533-position model. The record is from RNAcentral.